UUUAAUCCCCAACAGAGUCAAUGUUGAAUCCUGAUAUCUCGCCUGAUAUCUGUCGAUUCUCCCUGAUAUGUACCACCCAUAUGUCAUCCCUAAAAAACCUCACAAGACAUUCUCUAACAAAUAGAACAUGUUGAUGUUGAGUUCUUGCUUUUGUGCAGCAAGCCAUGCUUCCUUCCCCUCCAUCCAUCUUCUCUAUAAGAACAUCUUUCAUCUACUACUCAUUGCGAAUUAAACAAAUAUUUUUUCUUCGUUGAGUCACCAUAACUCACAAAAACCCUAAAUUAGUCGUCUUUAUCUACAAACCCUAAAUCAUGUUGCGCCGAUCCUCCUCUCAAACCGUCCCUCCGAUCAUCACAAUUUAAAAUACAAACUCCUCCACACCGUACACACCAACAUAUCAAGUUACGACCUUUCGUACAACUGUAUCUUUCAGGAAGAAGACGAAGUCGGGAUAAGAGGUGUCAUCAUUACCGAAGUCCUUUUCAAAAUCGCAUCCAAUGUCAUCAGAUCGAACGUAACUACACUCGAUAAGUGAAUCCUUCCAUUAUCAGAAAAACUAAGGUACCUAACAAACAACAUCGCAAGAAAUAUCCGGUCAACGGUGAAUAUCCAACCUUACGUACCAAAUUACAGCAAAUCAGCGGGAAGCAUAUACUAGACGAACUACAGAAAACUCUAGGAAUUUUACUGGUUCACAAGGAGUGGUCUCAGUGGGGAGGCUGUAAUGGGUUAUGAUUUUUGGUGGUGUAGGAUAGUGGUUGGUGGUGAUUAAUAUGGGCUGUGAUGGUGGCAGUAUAAGGUGGUUUUGGUGGUGGGUAUCAUGUCUUUCAAGCCUUCUGCAAGCUAUAUAUAUUCCCUUUGUGGCUGUGAUAUACCCAAAAAUGAUUUGGUGCCCAAACUGCUUCAUUCUUGAUUAUUAUUUGCAAAAUUAUUACUCGCAGUUUUCAUUCAUGAGGAUUUUAAAUUUUACAGGGUAAAAGACACAAGGGACAGAGCUCGACACUAAAGUGAGUGAGACUCUUAUUUCUUGCAUUUUUCAUAGUUACUUUCAUGCCUUUGUGGUUAUGCCAUUUCACUUUGAAUUAAUUCUUAUAGAGAAUGAUUAAUGGUGCAAUAUUGGUGGAGAUGAUGAAGUGCGUAUAGAUGUCUUAAGUCAUUAUAUUCAAGCUAAUGUUGAUGUAUGACCAAUUUUUUAGAUAAUUAUGCAUUAGCAUUGCCACUUCUAUUCUUCACUACAGGGGUAAGAAGGUCAUUUAUGUGAGCAAAUUUUUUCAGGGUGAAGGAAAGCAAAAACAUCUUAAGUUUCUGAAGUUACACAAAUACAUCUUACACAAAUUAUCCUUUUGAUGCAACAGUGAAGGAGAAAUGAUGGGUAGAAUUCAAAGCCAAAGGACAUGAUGAUCCGACCUUCCAAGUAACUCAAAACUCUUUAAGUUUCUAAAGUUAUGAUUGCUGAAAGGGAUAAUUACCAUGAGUUAUGUAUGAUUACCUGUAAUGAUUUUAUUUUGAAUUGUGUUUUCAUAUCUCAAUCCAUUCAUCAUCUACCACCAUCUCUCUAUUUGCCUUUGUCCCCAUCGUUUGCCACCGUCCCCACCAUCAUCGGUCUUUUAGGGUUUACUAUGAUUCCCACCUGAUGUUCAUGCUUGAAAGAAAAGUUGAUCAUAAGCGAUUUUAAAUAUCUUUGGGUGAACGUUUGGAUCAGAUCAACUCAUCCAAGUAGGGGUGAGCAUUUGGAUCGGACCAUAACCGAUGCUAGAACCGUUUUAGAAGGUAUGUAAGGAUCGUGGAUACUACCAAUUGUGGCAAAUUAAUGCCUCUUUUUCCGGUUUUGGACCGGUACAACAUUCAUUGUGUAAAGGCACCCGAUUGAUAUGUAAAAGUUUUGAGCAUAAUGUCAUUGAUGUUGAAUUAGCUGUUGGUAAACAUGUUGGAAAUAGGGUAUUUUUUUCCAAGGAUUCAUUUAUGUCCGUCUGAAGAUGACAUCUUCUCAUUCCAGCUGAAGAGAAGUACUUUGCUAUAUUGCCAUAUAAUGUGAAAGGGCCUGUUAUUGUAACCUGUUGAAGUUUGUAGCUGAUAUCUUGCAGUUAAAAUGUUAAUGUAUAAAAUCUAUCUAUUUUAAGUUCUAUCGGAUCAAACUACGUAGAACUUUUAAAAGCUUUACUAAUCAUAAGACCAACUACUAAUUAAUUAAUUUACCCCAUGUGUAAUCAAUCUUUAUUGAGGCAGUAAGUCUAUUUACACAGGGGAAUGUAACCAUAAAAGAUAAUAUAAUUAUACUCAAUGUUAGUGUUACUGAUGAUGAGACUUGAGAGAGUAUAAGUAAUUAAGGAGCAUGUGGUAAUUGCUAAUAGUGGAAAAAGAGAAUGAUGGAAUUUUCUUUAUCGUAAGGUAUAAACUUAUAGAGGGUGUAUGUGGUGUUU
Lactuca sativa (garden lettuce) is the source of this 2420-nucleotide non-coding RNA. The record is from RefSeq and is a predicted model, not a curated record. Lineage: Eukaryota; Viridiplantae; Streptophyta; Magnoliopsida; Asterales; Asteraceae.